AUACGGAGGAUGCGAGCGUUAUCCGGAUUUAUUGGGUUUAAAGGGAGCGUAGGCGGGAGCUUAAGUCAGCGGUUAAAUGGUGCGGCUCAACCGUGCCCUGCCGUUGAAACUGGGUUUCUUGAGAGUGCAAGAGGCGGAUGGAAUUCAUGGUGUAGCGGUGAAAUGCUUAGAUAUCAUGAAGAACUACGAUUGCGAAGGCAGUCCGCUGGGGCACGUCUGACGCUGAUGCUCGAAGGUGCGGGAAUCAAACAGGAUUAGAUACCCUGGUAGUCCGCACGGUAAACGAUGAUUACCCGCUGUCGGCGGCAGACAGUCGGCGGCCAAGCGAAAGCGAUAAGUAAUCCACCUGGGGAGUACGCCGGCAACGGUGAAACUCAAAGGAAUUGACGGGG
Molecule: ribosomal RNA, 392 nt
Filed under: uncultured bacterium
Lineage: Bacteria
Description: partial 16S ribosomal RNA
Rfam family: Bacterial small subunit ribosomal RNA
Source: RNAcentral